This 472-nucleotide long non-coding RNA is filed under the name Sinocyclocheilus anshuiensis. RNAcentral describes it as "lncRNA (ENSSANG00000045474.1)". The record is from RNAcentral. Lineage: Eukaryota; Metazoa; Chordata; Actinopteri; Cypriniformes; Cyprinidae.
AAUUUCACCUGAAUCAUAAGUGAGAAACUAACACGAAAGAGCUAGGGUACCAAUAACAGCACUGACGGAAACUUUAAAAACCCACGCAAACUGGGAGUGAGCAGAAAGCGUGGUUUUACUUUGACUGGAAAUCUUGCCGUUCUUCAGAAAUCAAGCAAACAUUGGACUAUGACUACACAUCCACAAUGGUUUUAUCGUGUUUAAUCGCUCUAACAGCAAACCAAAGUAAAAACAAGCCCUUUGAUCAAGUACAAGGUCCUGAUGGUCUUUCUCUUCAUUACCAAGUAUUCGUAACAGUGCUGUGUUUUGGCCUGCUGGGAUUGUUAGUAACUGUUUUAGUGGUGCAUAUGAAGACCAGGAAAAAAAAACGCACCUCCACCAGUGAAGAAUAAGAGAGGAUCAUGGAUCAUGGAUAAGAGAGGAUCAUUGUUGUUGUUGUUCAAAUAAAUAUAUAAGAACCCUUGAAACUCCA